AAUAUGAAGGCCAGGCUGAAGACUUUGCCGGAUUAGCUGAGAGGUGGUGCAUGGCCGUCGUCAGUUCGUACUGUGAAGCAUCCUGUUAAGUCAGGCAACGAGCGAGACCCACGCCAACAGUUGCCAGCUCGUCCUCCGGGAUGGUGGGGACACUGUUGGGACCGCCUCUGCUAAAGAGGAGGAAGGGAAAUGGGGCAACGGUAGGUCAGCAUGCCCGAAUUAUCCGGGCUACACGCGGGCUACAAUGGUCAGGACAAUGGGCAUCAACACCGAAAGGGUGAAGGCAAUACUCUUAAACCUGUCCUUAGUUCGGAUUGUGGGCUGCAACUCGCCCACAUGAAGCUGGAAUCUGUAGUAAUCGCGUCUCAAAAUGGCGCGGUGAAUAUGUCCCUGCUCCCU
This 399-nucleotide ribosomal RNA is filed under the name uncultured Methanolinea sp. RNAcentral describes it as "bacterial SSU rRNA". It matches the Rfam family "Archaeal small subunit ribosomal RNA", at positions 944 to 1338 of the family's 1478-position model. Lineage: Archaea; Methanobacteriati; Methanobacteriota; Methanomicrobia; Methanomicrobiales; Methanoregulaceae. The record is from RNAcentral.